AAGUCGUAACAAGGUUUCGCUCACUACGGAGACCUUGCAGUCCGGCGCUAUCAGCGCUGGAAGGAAACGCGACAGUAAAUAACGUCUCCGUCUACAAGUCAGCGACGUUGGCAACACUAUCGAAUUGCGAGGAAGUCUUAAAGCUGAGAGUACUCCCCUGUACCCGAAAGGGUACAGCACAGUCAAAACCUCUCAGAUGCUACAAUAGGCAAUUCGCAGCGAAGACCCUAAGGCUCGGCCAGAGCUACGGGUGACGUUCACAGACUAAGUGAUAGUGGGUAACAGUGGUUACUUAAGAUAUAGUCGAGCGCAUGCCGAGAGGCGUGCGAGUCUACGUCCGUAGGUGAACCUGCGGAAGGAUCAUUAUAAAAGGACAUACUGCCCGCGAAAGCGGGAAAGGACCCUAACCCUUGCUUAUUAUACCUUCGUUGCUUUGGCGGAACGCUCUCGUGGCCAGCGGCUUCGGCUUCUGCGUGCCCGCCAGAGAACACACAACUCUUGUUUUUAGUGAUGUCUGAGUACUAUUAAAUAGUUAAAACUUUCAACAACGGAUCUCUUGGUUCUGGCAUCGAUGAAGAACGCAGCGAAAUGCGAUAAGUAAUGUGAAUUGCAGAAUUCAGUGAUACAUCGAAUCUUUGAACGCACAUUGCGCCCUUUGGUAUUCCGAAGGGCAUGCCUGUCGAGCGUCAUUAUAACCACUCAAGCCUUUGCAUGGUCUUGGGGUUCCCGGCUUCGGGGCCCUUAAAAUCAGUGGCGGUGCUCGUUAGCUCUACGCGUAGUAAUACUCCUCGCGUCUGACCCUAGCGAGUUACUUGCCAGCAACCCCCAAUUUUUUACAGGUUGACCUCGGAUCAGGUAGGGAUACCCGCUGAACUUAAGCAUAUCAAUAAGCGGAGGAAAAGAAACCAACAGGGAUUACCUCAGUAACGGCGAGUGAAGCGGUAACAGCUCAAAUUUGAAAGCUCGCUCUUUUAGGGUGCGCAUUGUAAUUUGUAGAAGAUGCUUCGAGUGUGGCCCCGGUCUAAGUUCCUUGGAACAGGACGUCAUAGAGGGUGAGAAUCCCGUAUGUGACUGGGUGCUUUCGCUCAUGUGAAGCUCUUUCGACGAGUCGAGUUGUUUGGGAAUGCAGCUCAAAAUGGGUGGUAAAUUUCAUCUAAAGCUAAAUAUUGGCCAGAGACCGAUAGCGCACAAGUAGAGUGAUCGAAAGAUGAAAAGCACUUUGGAAAGAGAGUUAAACAGUACGUGAAAUUGUUGAAAGGGAAGCGCUUGCAACCAGACUUGCGCGUAGGUAAUCAUCCGGGCUUCUGUCCGGGGCACUUGCCUGCGCUCAGGCCAGCAUCGGUUUCGGUGGUGGGAUAAAGGCCUUGGGAAUGUAGCUUCUUUCGGGGAGUGUUAUAGCCCUCGGUGCAAUGCCGCCUACCGGGACCGAGGACCGCGCUUCGGCUAGGAUGCUGGCGUAAUGGUUGUAAGCGACC
RNAcentral lists this ribosomal RNA (1475 nucleotides) under uncultured fungus. RNAcentral describes it as "eukaryotic LSU rRNA". The stretch from base 842 to 1475 matches the Rfam family "Eukaryotic large subunit ribosomal RNA", at positions 1 to 649 of the family's 3401-position model. Lineage: Eukaryota; Fungi. The record is from RNAcentral.